AUUAGAGUUUGAUCCUGGCUCAGGAUGAACGCUAGCGGGAGGCCUAACACAUGCAAGCCGAGCGGUAGAGUCUCUUCGGAGACUUGAGAGCGGCGCACGGGUGCGGAACACGUGUGCAACCUGCCUUUAUCUGGGGGAUAGCCUUUCGAAAGGAAGAUUAAUACCCCAUAAUAUAUUGAAUGGCAUCAUUCGAUAUUGAAAACUCCGGUGGAUAGAGAUGGGCACGCGCAAGAUUAGAUAGUUGGUGAGGUAACGGCUCACCAAGUCUACGAUCUUUAGGGGGCCUGAGAGGGUGAUCCCCCACACUGGUACUGAGACACGGACCAGACUCCUACGGGAGGCAGCAGUGAGGAAUAUUGGACAAUGGGUGAGAGCCUGAUCCAGCCAUCCCGCGUGAAGGACGACGGCCCUAUGGGUUGUAAACUUCUUUUGUAUAGGGAUAAACCUACUCUCGUGAGAGUAGCUGAAGGUACUAUACGAAUAAGCACCGGCUAACUCCGUGCCAGCAGCCGCGGUAAUACGGAGGGUGCAAGCGUUAUCCGGAUUUAUUGGGUUUAAAGGGUCCGUAGGCGGAUCUGUAAGUCAGUGGUGAAAUCUCACAGCUUAACUGUGAAACUGCCAUUGAUACUGCAGGUCUUGAGUGUUGUUGAAGUAGCUGGAAUAAGUAGUGUAGCGGUGAAAUGCAUAGAUAUUACUUAGAACACCAAUUGCGAAGGCAGGUUACUAAGCAACAACUGACGCUGAUGGACGAAAGCGUGGGGAGCGAACAGGAUUAGAUACCCUGGUAGUCCACGCCGUAAACGAUGCUAACUCGUUUUUGGGCUUUCGGGUUCAGAGACUAAGCGAAAGUGAUAAGUUAGCCACCUGGGGAGUACGUUCGCAAGAAUGAAACUCAAAGGAAUUGACGGGGGCCCGCACAAGCGGUGGAUUAUGUGGUUUAAUUCGAUGAUACGCGAGGAACCUUACCAAGGCUUAAAUGGGAAAUGACAGGUUUAGAAAUAGACUUUUCUUCGGACAUUUUUCAAGGUGCUGCAUGGUUGUCGUCAGCUCGUGCCGUGAGGUGUUAGGUUAAGUCCUGCAACGAGCGCAACCCCUGUCACUAGUUGCCAUCAUUAAGUUGGGGACUCUAGUGAGACUGCCUACGCAAGUAGAGAGGAAGGUGGGGAUGACGUCAAAUCAUCACGGCCCUUACGCCUUGGGCCACACACGUAAUACAAUGGCCAGUACAGAGGGCAGCUACACAGCGAUGUGAUGCAAAUCUCGAAAGCUGGUCUCAGUUCGGAUUGGAGUCUGCAACUCGACUCUAUGAGGCUGGAAUCGCUAGUAAUCGCGCAUCAGCCAUGGCGCGGUGAAUACGUUCCCGGGCCUUGUACACACCGCCCGUCAAGCCAUGGAAGUCUGGGGUACCUGAAGUCGGUGACCGUAAAAGGAGCUGCCUAGGGUAAAACAGGUAACUAGGGCUAAGUCGUAACAAGGUAGCCGUACCGGAAGGUGCGGCUGGAUCACCUUAAU
This 1512-nucleotide ribosomal RNA is filed under the name Chryseobacterium jejuense. RNAcentral describes it as "bacterial SSU rRNA". It matches the Rfam family "Bacterial small subunit ribosomal RNA". The record is from RNAcentral. Lineage: Bacteria; Pseudomonadati; Bacteroidota; Flavobacteriia; Flavobacteriales; Weeksellaceae.